UACGGGGGGGGUAAGCGUUGUUCGGAAUUACUGGGCGUAAAGGGCUCGUAGGCGGCCAACUAAGUCGGAUGUGAAAUCCCCAAGCUUAACUUGGGAACUGCAUCCGAUACUGGAUGGCUUGAAUCCGGGAGAGGGAUGCAGAAUUCCAGGUGUAGCGGUGAAAUGCGUAGAUAUCUGGAGGAAUACCGGUGGCGAAGGCGGCAUCCUGGACCGGCAUUGACGCUGAGGAGCGAAAGCUAGGGGAGCAAACGGGG
This 254-nucleotide ribosomal RNA is filed under the name uncultured bacterium. RNAcentral's name for it is "partial 16S ribosomal RNA". It matches the Rfam family "Bacterial small subunit ribosomal RNA", at positions 524 to 777 of the family's 1533-position model. The record is from RNAcentral.